GGAGGGGUGGCAGAGCGGCUUAAUGCGGCGGUCUUGAAAACCGUUGACCUGCGAAGGUCCGGGGGUUCGAAUCCCUCCCCCUCCGCGA
Molecule: transfer RNA, 88 nt
Filed under: bacterium
Lineage: Bacteria
Description: tRNA-Ser
Rfam family: tRNA
About the family: Transfer RNA (tRNA) molecules are approximately 80 nucleotides in length. Their secondary structure includes four short double-helical elements and three loops (D, anti-codon, and T loops).
Source: RNAcentral